GAUGAACGCUGGCGGCGUGCCUAAUACAUGCAAGUCGAGCGAACGGACGAGAAGUUUGCUUUUUUGAUGUUAGCGGCGGACGGGUGAGUAACACGUGGAUAACCUACCUCUAAGACUGGGAUAACUUCGGGAAACCGGAGCUAAUACCGGAUAAUAUUUUGAACGGCAUGGUUCAAAAGUGAAAGAUGGUCUUGCUGUGACUUAUAGAUGGAUCCGCGCUGUAUUGGCUAGUUGGUAAGGUAACGGCUUUCCAAGGCAACGAUCCGUAGCCGACCGGGGAGGGUGAUCGGCCACACGGGAGCUGAGACACGGUCCAGACUCCUACGGGAGGCAGCAGUAGGCUAUCUUCCGCAAUGGGCGAAAGCCUGACGGAGCAACGCCGCGUGAGUGAUGAAGGUCUUCGGAUCGGGAAGCUCUGUUAUUAGGGAAGAACAUAUGUGUAAGUAACUGUGCCCAUCUUGGCCGUUCCUUAUCAGAAAGCCACGGCUUACUUCGUGC
This 498-nucleotide ribosomal RNA is filed under the name uncultured bacterium. RNAcentral's name for it is "partial 16S ribosomal RNA". It matches the Rfam family "Bacterial small subunit ribosomal RNA", at positions 28 to 508 of the family's 1533-position model. The record is from RNAcentral.